This 253-nucleotide ribosomal RNA is filed under the name uncultured bacterium. RNAcentral describes it as "partial 16S ribosomal RNA". It matches the Rfam family "Bacterial small subunit ribosomal RNA", at positions 524 to 776 of the family's 1533-position model. The record is from RNAcentral.
UACGUAGGGUGCAAGCGUUAAUCGGAAUUACUGGGCGUAAAGCGUGCGCAGGCGGUGAUGUAAGACAGGUGUGAAAUCCCCGGGCUCAACCUGGGAACUGCAUUUGUGACUGCAUGGCUGGAGUGCGGCAGAGGGGGAUGGAAUUCCGCGUGUAGCAGUGAAAUGCGUAGAUAUGCGGAGGAACACCGAUGGCGAAGGCAAUCCCCUGGGCCUGCACUGACGCUCAUGCACGAAAGCGUGGGGAGCAAACAGG